RNAcentral lists this transfer RNA (73 nucleotides) under Clostridium sp. AF22-10. Its description in RNAcentral is "tRNA-Gln". It matches the Rfam family "tRNA". Rfam says of the family: Transfer RNA (tRNA) molecules are approximately 80 nucleotides in length. Lineage: Bacteria; Bacillati; Bacillota; Clostridia; Eubacteriales; Clostridiaceae. The record is from RNAcentral.
GGCGGAUUAGUGUAACGGUUUAGCACACUAGAGUUUGAUUCUAGGAAUAUUGGUUCAAAUCCAGUAUCCGCUG